This 225-nucleotide ribosomal RNA is filed under the name uncultured bacterium. Its description in RNAcentral is "partial 16S ribosomal RNA". It matches the Rfam family "Bacterial small subunit ribosomal RNA", at positions 15 to 219 of the family's 1533-position model. The record is from RNAcentral.
GAUCCUGGCUCAGGAUGAACGCUGGCGGCGUGCUUAACACAUGCAAGUCGAACGAAGCACUUUACCUGAUUUCCUUCGGGGAGUGAUUGUUCUGCGACUGAGUGGCGGACGGGUGAGUAACGCGUGGAUAACCUGCCUCACACAGGGGAGUAACAGUUGGAAACGACUGCUAAUACCGCAUAAGCGCACAGCACCGCAUGGUGCAGUGUGAAAAACUCCGGUGGU